UACGAAGGGUGCAAGCGUUGCUCGGAAUUAUUGGGCGUAAAGGGUAGGUAGGUGGUAAUAAAAGUCUGGGGUGAAAUCCCUGAGCUCAACUCAGGACGUGCCUUGGAAACUUUAUUACUAGAGUGCUGGAGAGGUCCGCAGAAUUCCCGGUGUAGCGGCGAAAUGCGUAGAGAUCGGGAGGAAUACCAGAGGCGAAGGCGGCGGACUGGACAGCAACUGACACUCAACUACGAAAGCGUGGGUAGCAAACAGG
Molecule: ribosomal RNA, 253 nt
Filed under: uncultured bacterium
Lineage: Bacteria
Description: partial 16S ribosomal RNA
Rfam family: Bacterial small subunit ribosomal RNA
Source: RNAcentral